The sequence is a transfer RNA, 72 nucleotides long. It matches the Rfam family "tRNA". From Rfam's summary of the family: Transfer RNA (tRNA) molecules are approximately 80 nucleotides in length. Their secondary structure includes four short double-helical elements and three loops (D, anti-codon, and T loops). Further hydrogen bonds mediate the characteristic L-shaped molecular structure. tRNAs have two regions of fundamental functional importance: the anti-codon, which is responsible for specific mRNA codon recognition, and the 3' end, to which the tRNAs corresponding amino acid is attached (by aminoacyl-tRNA synthetases). tRNAs cope with the degeneracy of the genetic code in two manners: having more than one tRNA (with a specific anti-codon) for a particular amino acid; and 'wobble' base-pairing, i.e. permitting non-standard base-pairing at the 3rd anti-codon position.
GCGGGUGUAGCUCAGUGGUAGAGCACAACCUUGCCAAGGUUGGGGUCGAGGGUUCGAAUCCCUUCACCCGCU